UAGUGUCUGACUUUAACUUUU
This 21-nucleotide non-coding RNA is filed under the name Caenorhabditis elegans. Lineage: Eukaryota; Metazoa; Nematoda; Chromadorea; Rhabditida; Rhabditidae. The record is from RNAcentral.